CGGGUUAAGUCCCGCAACGAGUGCAACCCCUAUCUUAGUUACCAGCGAUUCGGUCGGGGACUCUAAAGAUACUGCCCCGGUUAACGGGGAGGAAGGUGGGGAAUGACGUCAAGUCCUCAUGGCCCUUAUGCCUAGGGCUACACACGUGCUACAAUGGACGGAACAAAGGGUCGCGAUACCGCGAGGAGGAGCUAAUCCCAAAAACCCGUCCCAAGUUCGGAUUGGAGUCUGCAACUCGACUCCAUGAAGUUGGAAUCGCUAGUAAUCGCGGAUCAGCAUGCCGCGGUGAAUACGUUCCCGGGCCUU
Molecule: ribosomal RNA, 306 nt
Filed under: uncultured Desulfobacterium sp.
Lineage: Bacteria; Pseudomonadati; Thermodesulfobacteriota; Desulfobacteria; Desulfobacterales; Desulfobacteriaceae
Description: bacterial SSU rRNA
Rfam family: Bacterial small subunit ribosomal RNA
Source: RNAcentral